GUGGAUUAGAUACCCGAGUAGUCCACGCCCUAAACGAUGCCAACUAGGUGUUGGGGAAGGAGACUUCCUUAGUACCGUAGCUAACGCGUGAAGUUGGCCGCCUGGGGAGUACGGUCGCAAGAUUAAAACUCAAAGGAAUUGACGGGGACCCGCACAAGCGGUGGAUGAUGUGGAUUAAUUCGAUGCAACGCGAAAAACCUUACCUACCCUUGACAUGUCCGGAAUCCUGCUGAGAGGUGGGAGUGCUCGAAAGAGAGCCGGAACACAGGUGCUGCACGGUCGUCGCCAGCU
Molecule: ribosomal RNA, 291 nt
Filed under: uncultured bacterium
Lineage: Bacteria
Description: partial 16S ribosomal RNA
Rfam family: Bacterial small subunit ribosomal RNA
Source: RNAcentral